UACGGAGGAUACGAGCGUUAUCCGGAUUUAUUGGGUUUAAAGGGUGCGCAGGCGGCGUGUCAAGUCAGCGGUAAAAUGUCGGGGCUCAACCCCGGCCGGCCGUUGAAACUGGCGUGCUCGAGUUGGAGAGAAGUAUGCGGAAUUCGUGGUGUAGCGGUGAAAUGCAUAGAUAUCACGAAGAACCCCGAUUGCGAAGGCAGCAUACCGGCUCCACACUGACGCUGAGGCACGAAAGCGUGGGUAUCGAACAGG
RNAcentral lists this ribosomal RNA (252 nucleotides) under uncultured bacterium. RNAcentral's name for it is "partial 16S ribosomal RNA". It matches the Rfam family "Bacterial small subunit ribosomal RNA", at positions 524 to 776 of the family's 1533-position model. The record is from RNAcentral.